Molecule: long non-coding RNA, 165 nt
Organism: Corapipo altera (White-ruffed manakin)
Lineage: Eukaryota; Metazoa; Chordata; Aves; Passeriformes; Pipridae
Exons: 3
Source: RefSeq, a predicted model, not a curated record
AAGGCUUCCAUCAGCCCCAUACCAAGAUCAGUGUUUACAGAGCCAUAGUGCUGUCUGCUCUCUCGUAUGGAUCUGAAUCCUGGGUCAUCUACAGCCACCACCUGCGACUCCUCGAACGCUUCCAUCAACGCUGCCUCCGUACAAUCCUAAACAUCCACUGCUCAG